GAAUGUACUUACUGUAAUUCGCUCUGGAUAAGAGCAUCUGCUAAAUGACUAAAA
Non-coding RNA from Salmo salar (Atlantic salmon), 54 nucleotides. The record is from Rfam. Lineage: Eukaryota; Metazoa; Chordata; Actinopteri; Salmoniformes; Salmonidae.